This 375-nucleotide ribosomal RNA is filed under the name uncultured bacterium. RNAcentral's name for it is "bacterial SSU rRNA". It matches the Rfam family "Bacterial small subunit ribosomal RNA", at positions 521 to 896 of the family's 1533-position model. The record is from RNAcentral.
UAAUACGAACUGCGCGAACGUUAUUCGGAAUCACUGGGCUUACAGGGUGCGUAGGCGGCUUUUCAGGUCCGAUGUGAAAUCCCCCAGCUCAACUGGGGAACGGCAUUGGAAACCGGAUGGCUGGAGUGAGCUAGAGGUGCACGGAACUUUCGGUGGAGCGGUGAAAUGUGUUGAGAUCGGAAGGAACACCAGAGGCGAAGGCGGUGCACUGGGGCUUGUCUGACGCUGAGGCACGAAAGCCAGGGGAGCGAACGGGAUUAGAUACCCCGGUAGUCCUGGCUGUAAACGAUCAGUACUGGACGGAGGGAGGCUUGCCUUUCUCGGUCGUAGCGAAAGCGAUAAGUACUGCGCCUGGGGAGUAUGGUCGCAAGGCUG